UAUGGUAAUUCCAGCCGCCGCGGUAAUACGUAGGGGGCAAGCGUUAUCCGGAUUUACUGGGUGUAAAGGGAGCGUAGACGGAUUAGCAAGUCUGAUGUGAAAGGCAGGGGCUCAACCCCUGGACUGCAUUGGAAACUGCCAGUCUUGAGUGCCGGAGAGGUAAGCGGAAUUCCUAGUGUAGCGGUGAAAUGCGUAGAUAUUAGGAGGAACACCAGUGGCGAAGGCGGCUUACUGGACGGCAACUGACGUUGAGGCUCGAAAGCGUGGGGAGCAAACAGG
Molecule: ribosomal RNA, 279 nt
Filed under: Blautia schinkii
Lineage: Bacteria; Bacillati; Bacillota; Clostridia; Lachnospirales; Lachnospiraceae
Description: partial 16S ribosomal RNA
Rfam family: Bacterial small subunit ribosomal RNA
Source: RNAcentral